UACGGAGGGAGCAAGCGUUGUUCGGAAUUAUUGGGCGUAAAGCGCGUGUAGGCGGAAAAGCAGGUCAGGAGUGAAAUCCCUUGGCCCAACCAAGGAACUGCAUCUGAAACCAUUUUCCUCGAGUACGAUAGGGGAGGGCGGAAUUCCCAGUGUAGAGGUGAAAUUCAUAGAUAUUGGGUAGGAACACCAGUGGCGAAGGCGACCCUCUGGAUCGAUACUGACGCUGAGACGCGAAAGCGUGGGUAGCAAACAGGAUUAGAUACCCUGGUAGUCCACGCUGUAAACGAUGUGCACUAGGUGUUGGAGGUACUUAAUCCUCCAGUGCCGCAGCUAACGCAUUAAGUGCACCGCCUGGGGAAUACGGCCGCAAGGUUAAAACUCAAAGGAAUUGACGGGGGCCCGCACAAGCGGUGGAGUAUGUGGUUUAAUUCGACGCAACGCGCAAAACCUUACCUGGGCUUGACAUGCUGGGACUAGUUCUGAGAAAUCAGAGCGAUUGCCUUCGGGCGUAACCAGCACAGGUGCUGCAUGGCUGUCGUCAGCUCGCGUCGUGAGAUGUUGGGUUAAGUCCCGCAACGAGCGCAACCCUUACCAUUAGUUGCCAUCAUUCAGUUGGGCACUCUAAUGGAACUGCCGGAGUCAAACCGGAGGAAGGUGAGGAUGACGUCAAGUCCUCAUGGCCUUUAUGCCCAGGGCUACACACGUACUACAAUGGUCAAUACACCGGGCAGCAAGCUCGCAAGAGCAAGCAAAUCCCUGAAAGCUGACCCCAGUUCGGAUUGGAGUCUGCAACUCGACUCCAGGAAGUCGGAAUCGCUAGUAAUCGCGGAUCAGCAGGCCGCGGUGAAUACGUUCUCGGGCCU
This 863-nucleotide ribosomal RNA is filed under the name uncultured bacterium. RNAcentral's name for it is "SSU rRNA". It matches the Rfam family "Bacterial small subunit ribosomal RNA", at positions 524 to 1381 of the family's 1533-position model. The record is from RNAcentral.